Molecule: transfer RNA, 65 nt
Filed under: Eurysternus foedus
Lineage: Eukaryota; Metazoa; Arthropoda; Insecta; Coleoptera; Scarabaeidae
Description: tRNA-Thr
Source: RNAcentral
GUUUUAAUAAUUUAUAAAAAAUACUGGUCUUGUAAACCAGAAAAAAGAAUACUUCUUUUAAAACU